RNAcentral lists this long non-coding RNA (1250 nucleotides) under Hordeum vulgare. Its description in RNAcentral is "long non-coding RNA (HVUL_LNC007432)". The record is from RNAcentral. Lineage: Eukaryota; Viridiplantae; Streptophyta; Magnoliopsida; Poales; Poaceae.
AGGUGCAGAAUCCGGUGACAUGCUAGGUGAGGAAACCGUGGGAUAUGGUGGCGGCAAAUCGGCAAGAGGUGGAGAACAAAUAGACAAAGGCUGGAUGGGGGUGAUGGGUGUGUCAGGAAAAGUGAGGAAAGAGAUGUCCUCCAUUGAAAAGGUGCAGAAUCCGGUGACAUGCUAGGUGAGGAAACCGUGGGAGAUGGUGGCGGCAAAUCGGCAAGAGGUGGGGAACGAAUAGAGAAAGGCUGGAUGGGGGCGAUGGGUGUGUCAGGAAAAGUGAGGAAAGAGAUAUCCUCCAUUGAUCUCCUCUGCCAUCGCAAACUGCCAUUCAGGAUGAACAACAGCCUGACGAUAAGUAGUCGGCUCAAGAACAGCAGCACCAGCGGUGGGAAAUUCAAGGCGAUCAACAGGCGAACGAGAACGAGGACGCAAGGCAUAGGUAGGCUGAGAUGAGGAGGCUGACACAUCCGUAGAGGCAUCCACAUUACGUGAACGACGAGUGAAGUACUAAGGAAAAGAUGGAAGAACACAAGGAGGAAUCACCGAGGUAGAAUCGGGGGGUGGAGACAAAUAAGCCACCGGAGAUGAAGGUGCAGAAUCCGGUGACAUGCUAGGUGAGGAAACCAUGGGAUAUGGUGGCGGCAAAUCGGCAGGAGGUGGAGAACAAAUAAACAAAGGCUGGAUGGGGGUGAUGGGUGUGUCAGGAAAAGUGAGGAAAGAGAUGUCCUCCAUUGAAAAGGUGCAGAAUCCGGUGACAUGCUAGGUGAGGAAACCGUGGGAGAUGGUGGCGGCAAAUCGGCAAGAGGUGGGGAACAAAUAGAGAAAGGCUGGAUGGGGGCGAUGGGUGUGUCAGGAAAAGUGAGGAAAGAGAUAUCCUCCAUUGAAAAGGUCGAGGAAGAUGGGCGCGGGUAGAAGGGACGAGACUCAUCAAAAGUCACAUUCCGAGAAAUACGCAUCCGAUGGUCGAUAGGAUGCCAACAACGAUAGCCCUUAUGCUCAUCACUAUAGCCUAAGAAGACACACUCAACAGACUGAGCGGUUAGUUUGGUGCGUUCGCGAGGGGCAAGAAGAACAUAGCAAACACAACAGACUGAGCGGUUAUGCUCAUCACUAUAGCCUAAGAAGACAUGCUCAUCACUAUAGCCUAAGAAGACACACUCAACAGACUGAGCGGUUAGUUUGGUGCGUUCGCCAGGGGCAAGAAGAAUAUAGCAAACACAACCAAACAAACGAAGUGUCGAAUAAUCGGGAGAACG